This 285-nucleotide long non-coding RNA is filed under the name Ananas comosus (pineapple). RNAcentral's name for it is "long non-coding RNA (ACOM_LNC020772)". Lineage: Eukaryota; Viridiplantae; Streptophyta; Magnoliopsida; Poales; Bromeliaceae. The record is from RNAcentral.
GCCACUAUCUAUUUACAUUUUGUUUGGAUAUUCGAAUAAGUUAUCUAAAUAUAACUUAUUCGGUACAAAGAUUUUUUUCUUAUGAUUAAUUGCAUGUAAGAAAUGUGUUUAACUGUUGCUCUCUGAAAAGCCUUGCUAUCCAUGAUUUGGCAGGAUACCGUAAUUUACAUACGAUGAAAGUUAUUUUAUAUAUUUCAAAACAAUAAUUUAAAAGCCAAAUAUGAUAUCAAAUUCUGAACAUUAAUUAAUUAUAUUUCUCAUCUAUAUAUAUAUAUAUAUAUAUAU